ACCAAGAACUCGUGCGCUGCCUGGACCUCUAGCUUUUCGCCCUACACGCAGACGCCCUCUGCAAAACCCCAGUCCCGCAGACUUUCCCUAGCGGCGGGCGGAGGGCAUGAACCUGGAAAGGGAGGCAACAGCCCUCUUGGCAGGCGGGCAAAAUGAGACAAUGAGGUGAGAAAAGUCCUCAUUGUAUCUCCACUUAGGAGAUACGAUCUAGAGCAGAUCCCUGGGUCAUUCAUUAACAAAGCUUACGAAGUCCCUGCUGUGUACCAGAUGAGAAAACGGAGGUUUAUGGCCAUCAGUGGCUGAGCAGGGAUCGGAGUCUCAUUCUGUCAAACUCUAAAGCCUGCGUUCUGAACCAACUCAAGCUGCCCCAGGAUAUUCCUUGGAGCCUCUAUCAACUAAUUUCACAGAUUCUUUUUUUUUCCUUUUUGCUGCUGUCAUGUUAAUGGGCAUUAUUUAAAAAGGGAUCUUACCACAGAAUUUGAUUUGGUGUCUCCUUGUUGACACCAUAUAAGAGCAAAUCUAACCACAUGUAGUGUUUUCACAAAAGUGUACCUAUCCAUCAAUUCUAGCCACAAACCUCUAAGGUCAGAAAUCUCAAAGAUUAAGCCAGAGGGAGGUGGA
This is a long non-coding RNA of Homo sapiens (human), 621 nucleotides long. Ensembl annotates it as NDNF antisense RNA 1. Its record names the gene NDNF-AS1. Lineage: Eukaryota; Metazoa; Chordata; Mammalia; Primates; Hominidae. The record is from Ensembl.